GCCAGGAAGCCACGAGGAAGAAGAGGGAUCACCCACUUUUGGGAGCACAUUUCCAGGUGUAUAAGGAUCUCCCACUUGUCCUUACAUCCUCAACAUUGCAAUGAAGCACCGCCCUAGGGAACGUUUUGAACAUGAAUCUUUGAAGGAUACUCUCUAUACUCAAACCAGAACAAAAAUCUAUGUAGAAGACAAAAUGUCAUAGAAGCACACACAAGGAGUCUGGGAGAAGCAGGAUGAAAUAAAAGCUCCAAGGCAAAGCCAGAUGCUGAAAUAAUGUCAGAACCCCGAACUCCCAAGACAGUAGAAAUGGAAUCAGUACGAUGAAGGAAGCAAGAAUCUUCACUGAGCCGAAAGAAGAUAAAGAAUGAAAAGAGAAAUAGGAUUUUCUUUUUAAAAGGAAGAACAAAUAGAAAAUAAGCCUUUGUAGUAGGUAAGCUGUCAGAGCUGUCCAGGCAACAAAAUAAAUGCCAGGUAGAGUUUUUCAAAAUCCCAAUCGACAGCCAAGAACUGUGGAACCUGAGAGGGAAGUACGACUUUGCUGUUUGUAAUCGCCACUCAGCAAAUACCUACUCAGAUGUGAGGAGCACAGAGGAGGGUCUCACUCCAGGAUGCUCCACUGGCGGAGAAGACGUGUUGCUGAGCUUGGGGAACUGCCUCCCGGGAACCUGGAAGCACAAGGGCCAUUCCAGCAUCUCACAGGGCCUCCUGCACCAGUGCAGUUGGAAGGACCGAGACUCUGGGAGUCU
RNAcentral lists this long non-coding RNA (746 nucleotides) under Mus spicilegus (steppe mouse). RNAcentral describes it as "lncRNA (ENSMSIG00000019561.1)". Lineage: Eukaryota; Metazoa; Chordata; Mammalia; Rodentia; Muridae. The record is from RNAcentral.